GAAGCGUCUGGAAAGGCGCGCGAUACAGGGUGACAGCCCCGUACACAAAAGCGCAUGUGUUGUGAGCUCGAUGAGUAGGGCGGGACACGUGGUAUCCUGUCUGAAUAUGGGGGGACCAUCCUCCAAGGCUAAAUACUCCUGACUGACCGAUAGUGAACCAGUACCGUGAGGGAAAGGCGAAAAGAACCCCGGCGAGGGGAGUGAAAAAGAACCUGAAACCGUGUACGUACAAGCAGUGGGAGCACCCUUUGGGGUGUGACUGCGUACCUUUUGUAUAAUGGGUCAGCGACUUAUAUUCUGUAGCAAGGUUAACCGAAUAGGGGAGCCGGAGGGAAACCGAGUCUUAAUUGGGCGUUAAGUUGCAGGGUAUAGACCCGAAACCCGGUGAUCUAGCCAUGGGCAGGUUGAAGGUUGGGUAACACUAACUGGAGGACCGAACCGACUAAUGUUGAAAAAUUAGCGGAUGACCUGUGGCUGGGGGUGAAAGGCCAAUCAAACCGGGAGAUAGCUGGUUCUCCCCGAAAGCUAUUUAGGUAGCGCCUCGUGAACUCAUCUCCGGGGGUAGAGCACUGUUUCGGCUAGGGGGCCAUCCCGGCUUACCAACCCGAUGCAAACUGCGAAUACCGGAGAAUGUUAUCACGGGAGACACACGGCGGGUGCUAACGUCCGUCGUGAAGAGGGAAACAACCCAGACCGCCAGCUAAGGUCCCAAAGUCAUAGUUAAGUGGGAAACGAUGUGGGAAGGCCCAGACAGCCAGGAUGUUGGCUUAGAAGCAGCCAUCAUUUAAAGAAAGCGUAAUAGCUCACUGGUCGAGUCGGCCUGCGCGGAAGAUGUAACGGGGCUAAACUAUGCACCGAAGCUGCGGCAGCGACACUAUGUGUUGUUGGGUAGGGGAGCGUUCUGUAAGCCUGUGAAGGUGUGUCGUGAGGC
This 931-nucleotide ribosomal RNA is filed under the name Salmonella enterica subsp. enterica serovar Typhimurium. RNAcentral describes it as "partial 23S ribosomal RNA". It matches the Rfam family "Bacterial large subunit ribosomal RNA", at positions 335 to 1269 of the family's 2925-position model. The record is from RNAcentral. Lineage: Bacteria; Pseudomonadati; Pseudomonadota; Gammaproteobacteria; Enterobacterales; Enterobacteriaceae.